CUACACAACAGCCCGAGUGGAUUUUGCUUUUUCCACCUGCCCACCGUUGCCCACUCUAGCUAUAAUCUCUUUUUUUGUAAAAAUAUUGAUUACAAAUGCUUAUCUGCUUUUUUCAAAGUGAUUGUACUUGCAAGUCUUUAGAUUAAACAAAAGAAAUUGCAUGCCCACUCCUAUGGGUGGGCAGAGUGGACAAGGUAGAAAUUUUGUCCACCCGGUGCCCACUCCCAUGGUGGACCGGUGGACAAAGCAAAAUCCACCCGAGCUGUAGUGUAU
Molecule: long non-coding RNA, 273 nt
Filed under: Mytilus galloprovincialis (Mediterranean mussel)
Lineage: Eukaryota; Metazoa; Mollusca; Bivalvia; Mytilida; Mytilidae
Source: RNAcentral